This 408-nucleotide ribosomal RNA is filed under the name uncultured bacterium. RNAcentral's name for it is "partial 16S ribosomal RNA". It matches the Rfam family "Bacterial small subunit ribosomal RNA", at positions 28 to 526 of the family's 1533-position model. The record is from RNAcentral.
GACGAACGCUGGCGGCGUGCUUAACACAUGCAAGUCGAACGAAGUGGCGAACGGGGGAGGAACGAGUAAUCAACCUGCCCUUCAGAGGGGGACAACAGUUGGACACGACUGCUCAUACCGCAUACUGAAGGAGGGGAUUGCGUCUGAUUAGCUGGUUGGAGGGGUAACGGCCCACCAAGGCGAUGAUCAGUAGCCGGUCUGAGAGGAUGAACGGCCAAAUUGGGACUGAGACACGGCCCAGACUCCUACGGGAGGCAGCAGUGGGGAAUCUUCCGCAAUGGACGAAAGUCUGACGGAGCAACGCCCGUUGAGUGAUGACGGCCUUCGGGUUGUAAAGCUCUUUUCAUCGUUACGCGGUACCGGAAUAGAACGCCACGGCUAACUACGUGCCAGCAGCCGCGGUCCUUC